CACGUAGGGGGCAAGCGUUGCCCGGAUUUAUUGGGCGUAAAGAGCUCGUAGGCGGUUCGGUAAGUCGGGUGUUAAACCCCCAGGCUCAACCUGGGGACGCCACUCGAUACUGCUGUGACUAGAGUCCGGUAGGGGAGCGUGGAAUUCCUGGUGUAGCGGUGAAAUGCGCAGAUAUCAGGAGGAACACCGGUGGCGAAGGCGGGUCUCUGGGCCGAUACUGACGCUGAGGAGCGAAAGCGUGGGGAGCAAACAGG
This 254-nucleotide ribosomal RNA is filed under the name uncultured bacterium. Its description in RNAcentral is "partial 16S ribosomal RNA". It matches the Rfam family "Bacterial small subunit ribosomal RNA", at positions 524 to 776 of the family's 1533-position model. The record is from RNAcentral.